AGCGGGACGGAUCGUCGCUGCGGGCCGCAAGGCCCGGGGAGGAAAGUCCGGGCUCCACAGGGCAGGACGCUGGAUAACGUCCAGGAGGGGCGACCCUCGGACAGCGCCACAGAAAGCAAACCGCCGCGCAAGCGGUAAGGGUGAAACGGUGGAGUAAGAGACCACCAGAUGCCGCAGCGAUGCGGCAUGCUCGGCAUACCCCGUUCGGAGCAAGACCAAAUAGGGAAGGGGCCGGCCCGGCCAUACCUUCCGGGUAGGUUGCUUGAGGGCGCGGGCAACCGCGCUUCUAGAGGAAUGACGAUCGACGCGCUCAGCGCGUUACAAAACCCGGCUUACAGGCCCGCUCU
Molecule: RNase P RNA, 347 nt
Filed under: uncultured Desulfovibrio sp.
Lineage: Bacteria; Pseudomonadati; Thermodesulfobacteriota; Desulfovibrionia; Desulfovibrionales; Desulfovibrionaceae
Description: Bacterial RNase P class A
Rfam family: Bacterial RNase P class A
About the family: Ribonuclease P (RNase P) is a ubiquitous endoribonuclease, found in archaea, bacteria and eukarya as well as chloroplasts and mitochondria. Its best characterised activity is the generation of mature 5'-ends of tRNAs by cleaving the 5'-leader elements of precursor-tRNAs.
Source: RNAcentral